GACGAACGCUGGCGGCGUGCUUAACACAUGCAAGUCGAGCGAGGCCCCUCCUUCGGGAGGGUGUCCUAGCGGCGAACGGGUGAGUAACACGUGGGCAACCUGCCCUCAGCUCUGGGAUAACUCCGGGAAACCGGGGCUAAUACCGGAUACGACCUCCACGGGCAUCUGCGGAGGUGGAAAGUUUUUCGGCUGAGGAUGGGCCCGCGGCCUAUCAGCUAGUUGGUGGGGUAGUGGCCCACCAAGGCGACGACGGGUAGCCGGCCUGAGAGGGCGACCGGCCACACUGGGACUGGGACACGGCCCAGACUCCUACGGGAGGCAGCAGUGGGGAAUAUUGCGCAAUGGGCGAAAGCCUGACGCAGCGACGCCGCGUGAGGGACGAAGGCCUUCGGGUUGUAAACCUCUUUCAGCAGGGACGAAGCGAAAGUGACGGUACCUGCAGAAGAAGCACCGGCCAACUACGUG
Molecule: ribosomal RNA, 465 nt
Filed under: uncultured bacterium
Lineage: Bacteria
Description: partial 16S ribosomal RNA
Rfam family: Bacterial small subunit ribosomal RNA
Source: RNAcentral